ACGGCCAUCCCUAGGCGAAAACACCAGUUCCCGUCCGAUCACUGCAGUUAAGCGUCUGAGGGCCUCGUUAGUACUAUGGUUGGAGACAACAUGGGAAUCCGGGGUGCUGUAGGCU
This 115-nucleotide ribosomal RNA is filed under the name Schizosaccharomyces octosporus yFS286. Lineage: Eukaryota; Fungi; Ascomycota; Schizosaccharomycetes; Schizosaccharomycetales; Schizosaccharomycetaceae. The record is from RNAcentral.